GGGGCUGUGGCUCAGUGGUAGAGCAUCUGCUUCACAUGCAGAAGGUCCCAGGUUCAAUCCCUGGCACCUCCA
Non-coding RNA from Euleptes europaea (tarantolino), 72 nucleotides. The record is from the annotation of a RefSeq genome assembly. NCBI's taxonomy places the organism in Eukaryota, Metazoa, Chordata, Lepidosauria, Squamata, Sphaerodactylidae.